Long non-coding RNA from Dryobates pubescens (Downy woodpecker), 651 nucleotides. RefSeq lists it as uncharacterized. The record is from RefSeq and is a predicted model, not a curated record. The transcript is spliced from 4 exons. NCBI's taxonomy places the organism in Eukaryota, Metazoa, Chordata, Aves, Piciformes, Picidae.
CCCCGUGCUCGGGGCCGCGCCGGCGGCGGGCUGGGAGAGCGCUGAGGUCGCUUGUAUGCGCCGGGCUUCUAUGUCGUUCGUUCCCCCUGGCUCGCCCCUCCACCCCGAUAUCUUCUACCACCACCCCUUGGUGAGGAGUAAGUGCCACUGCUCCGCCUUCUCCUUUUCGCAAUGUUGACGCAAUCUAUAAAUAGUGGAACAAAAGGACCAACUUCCUCGCAGCUUUGCUGAAACUGCACAAAAAAGGCAACCGGGGAGGGGACACACACGGUUAUUUUUGAUUUUAUUUUUCUCCGGUUAAGAGGCGAAUCCUCCUUCUCCCUUCCCCCUCCUUCCCACCCACCCCCCUGCUACUGGAAGAUUUUUAAUUUAUUUUUUUUUUCCUCGCUGUCUCCUAUGCUGGCAGCGUCCUGCGAGUGGCUAUUUUGCUUUUGCACCGAGAGAAGGGCUUCCCCUCUCCUCCUCUUCUGACACUUAUGGAUGUAAUCCAUGCACUGAAGUCUAACCUGUAAUGAAAGCCAAUGUUUCGACCUUUCAAUAGAGAACUGAUUUUGGAGAACGGCUUACUCCUGUGAUUGCAAAACCUCUCUCUGGAAGGUUGAUGGAGCAGGAGCAUGGGUAGUUAAGACCUACGAAAAUUAUCACUGGAGA